This 473-nucleotide ribosomal RNA is filed under the name Klebsiella aerogenes. RNAcentral's name for it is "bacterial SSU rRNA". It matches the Rfam family "Bacterial small subunit ribosomal RNA", at positions 1 to 472 of the family's 1533-position model. Lineage: Bacteria; Pseudomonadati; Pseudomonadota; Gammaproteobacteria; Enterobacterales; Enterobacteriaceae. The record is from RNAcentral.
AAAUUGAAGAGUUUGAUCAUGGCUCAGAUUGAACGCUGGCGGCAGGCCUAACACAUGCAAGUCGAGCGGUAGCACAGAGAGCUUGCUCUCGGGUGACGAGCGGCGGACGGGUGAGUAAUGUCUGGGAAACUGCCUGAUGGAGGGGGAUAACUACUGGAAACGGUAGCUAAUACCGCAUAACGUCGCAAGACCAAAGUGGGGGACCUUCGGGCCUCAUGCCAUCAGAUGUGCCCAGAUGGGAUUAGCUAGUAGGUGGGGUAAUGGCUCACCUAGGCGACGAUCCCUAGCUGGUCUGAGAGGAUGACCAGCCACACUGGAACUGAGACACGGUCCAGACUCCUACGGGAGGCAGCAGUGGGGAAUAUUGCACAAUGGGCGCAAGCCUGAUGCAGCCAUGCCGCGUGUAUGAAGAAGGCCUUCGGGUUGUAAAGUACUUUCAGCGAGGAGGAAGGCAUUAAGGUUAAUAACCUUGG